RNAcentral lists this ribosomal RNA (425 nucleotides) under uncultured bacterium. RNAcentral describes it as "partial 16S ribosomal RNA". It matches the Rfam family "Bacterial small subunit ribosomal RNA", at positions 354 to 796 of the family's 1533-position model. The record is from RNAcentral.
GUGGGGAAUCUUAGACAAUGGGCGCAAGCCUGAUCUAGCCAUGCCGCGUGAGCGAUGAAGGCCUUAGGGUUGUUAAGCUCUUUCGUGGGGGAAGAUAAUGACUGUACCCCAAGAAGAAGCCCCGGCUAACUCCGUGCCAGCAGCCGCGGUAAUACGGAGGGGGCUAGCGUUGUUCGGAAUUACUGGGCGUAAAGCGCACGUAGGCGGACUGGAAAGUCAGGGGUGAAAUCCCGGGGCUCAACCCCGGAACUGCCUUUGAAACUCCCAGUCUUGAGUUCGAGAGAGGUGAGUGGAAUUCCGAGUGUAGAGGUGAAAUUCGUAGAUAUUCGGAGGAACACCAGUGGCGAAGGCGGCUCACUGGCUCGAUACUGACGCUGAGGUGCGAAAGCGUGGGGAGCAAACAGGAUUAGAUACCCCGGUAGUCC